AACGCAUCUUGCGCUCCUUGGUAUUCCGAGGAGCAUGCCUGUUUGAGUGUCAUCAAAGUCCUCAAACCACAUUGAUUGUUUUCGGUGUGGCUUGGAUGUGGGGGUUUUCUGUUUUGCAGGCUUUAGAAAUGAAGUCUGCUCCCCUGAAAUGCAUUAGUGGUAUCUGAGCAGAAGAACUACUACAGGUGUGAUAAAUAUAUCUAUGCCUUGGUACUGCUGCAUGAACAGAUUGCGCCGCUUCCAACAAAGAAUUUAUUAUUAUUUUUGGAGACCUCAAAUCAGGUAGGACUACCCGCUGAACUUAA
Molecule: unclassified non-coding RNA, 305 nt
Filed under: uncultured fungus
Lineage: Eukaryota; Fungi
Also listed under: 1 other name
Description: partial contains 5.8S ribosomal RNA, internal transcribed spacer 2, and large subunit ribosomal RNA
Rfam family: 5.8S ribosomal RNA (bases 1-52)
Source: RNAcentral